RNAcentral lists this long non-coding RNA (563 nucleotides) under Homo sapiens (human). Its description in RNAcentral is "HSALNT0307739". Lineage: Eukaryota; Metazoa; Chordata; Mammalia; Primates; Hominidae. The record is from RNAcentral.
GCUGCCAUCCUACUGAGGAAAAAGACAUCAUUCUAAUGUACUGUAAUAAAUUCUGAUCAUGAAAUCAGCCCAUUAGGAAGCACCUCUUGGAGAUCAUGGAUAACAUGCUAGGAAAAUGCAUCCUUUUUUAGUGGGCUUAUCAAAAAUAGUGAUGACGUACAUCUUGCCAAACCUAUUGCAACCUCCCCUUAGCAAGAACAUGUGAAAUGUUUUCAACUGGGAAGUCGGAUACAGAAGCAUCAUCCACAGUUUUUAUUGGGCCGAGUCAAAUAGGGGGCCUCUACCUGGUUGAAUUAUUAAGGGAUAAUUGAUCAUGUCUGUAACUUGCUCUCAAAUGGUUCAGCCAAAUGUCAGAAAUGUCAGAGAGACAGAGAGAAGGAGACAGGAGGAAGGGAGAGAGAAAGAGAAAAAGAGAAGAUAUAGUAAAGGUGGCAAAAUGAUGAAAAUUGGCAAAUGUACGUAAAGGCAUACAGAACUUCGAUGAACGAUUCUUGCAACCUUUAUAUAAUUCUGAAGGCUUUUAAAAAAAUGGCAAGCUUUCAAAUAAAAGCAAUUUAGGAAUU